AGAGCUCAGAAGAUGCUGUCAGAUCACCUGGAACUGGAAUAGACUGUUGUGAGCUGCCAUAUCCCUGUUCCUUAGGGCUUCAGAGGCCGUGCCAGUGCAAGACUGAUGAGAAAAUCCCGAAAUCAUCUGUGCCUGAAGGAAAACAACACACCUGGAGAGGAUGGAGUCGGGAGACGCCGAUCUCUGCCAAGUCACCGUGCACAAGAGCCUCUUCCACGGGGGAUGGAGACAGGGCUCAGCAGUGAAGAGACUUGUUACUCAACCGUUCUUACCCCAGUCAGUUCUGGCUGAUUCAACACCCUCUCCUGACCUCUGGGGCAUUCCAGUCACAUGGCACACUUACAUUCACAUAACAUCGUGGAAAGACGGCUCCGUGAGGAAGAGUACCGCUUGCCCUUCCAGAGGACCCACAUUAAUUCCCCAGCAACCACACGGUGUCUCACAGCAUCUAUAACUCCAGUUCCAGGGGAUCCGACACGUUCUCCCCUCCUCUGGCAUCCACAGGCACUGCACGCACAUGGUGAGCAGACAUGCGUGCAGGUAAAAUAUCCGUGCACACAAAAUACAAAUGAAGGUGAAAACACUGAACAUAUAAAAUAAAUAUUUGAAGAAAGG
This 615-nucleotide long non-coding RNA is filed under the name Rattus norvegicus (Norway rat). RNAcentral's name for it is "long non-coding RNA NONRATT010699". Lineage: Eukaryota; Metazoa; Chordata; Mammalia; Rodentia; Muridae. The record is from RNAcentral.